This 384-nucleotide ribosomal RNA is filed under the name Clostridioides sp. ZZV14-6387. Its description in RNAcentral is "bacterial SSU rRNA". It matches the Rfam family "Bacterial small subunit ribosomal RNA", at positions 338 to 739 of the family's 1533-position model. The record is from RNAcentral. Lineage: Bacteria; Bacillati; Bacillota; Clostridia; Peptostreptococcales; Peptostreptococcaceae.
CCUACGGGAGGCAGCAGUGGGGAAUAUUGCACAAUGGGGGAAACCCUGAUGCAGCGACGCCGCGUGAGGGAAGAAGUAUUUCGGUAUGUAAAGCUCUAUCAGCAGGGAAGAUAAUGACGGUACCUGACUAAGAAGCCCCGGCUAACUACGUGCCAGCAGCCGCGGUAAUACGUAGGGGGCAAGCGUUAUCCGGAUUUACUGGGUGUAAAGGGAGCGUAGACGGUGUGGCAAGUCUGAUGUGAAAGCCCGGGGCUCAACCCCGGGACUGCAUUGGAAACUGUCAUACUUGAGUGCCGGAGAGGUAAGCGGAAUUCCUAGUGUAGCGGUGAAAUGCGUAGAUAUUAGGAGGAACACCAGUGGCGAAGGCGGCUUACUGGACGAUAA